This 24-nucleotide non-coding RNA is filed under the name Arabidopsis thaliana (thale cress). The record is from RNAcentral. Lineage: Eukaryota; Viridiplantae; Streptophyta; Magnoliopsida; Brassicales; Brassicaceae.
GUUGUUGGAAGUUCUGAUCAAAAU